CAGUCGCCGCGGUAAUACAGAGGGUGCAAGCGUUAAUUGGAAUUACUGGGCGUAAAGCGCGCGUAGGUGGUUCGCCAAGUUGGAUGUGAAAUCCCCGGGCUCAACCUGGGAACUGCAUCCAAAACUGGCGAGCUAGAGUAUGGUAGAGGGUGGUGGAAUUUCCUGUGUAGCGGUGAAAUGCGUAGAUAUAGGAAGGAACAUCAGUGGCGAAGGCGACCACCUGGACUGAUACUGACACUGAGGUGCGAAAGCGUGGGGAGCAAACAGGAUUAGAGACCCCUGUAGUCCCUGUCUCUUAUAC
This 301-nucleotide ribosomal RNA is filed under the name uncultured bacterium. Its description in RNAcentral is "partial 16S ribosomal RNA". It matches the Rfam family "Bacterial small subunit ribosomal RNA", at positions 509 to 807 of the family's 1533-position model. The record is from RNAcentral.